This is a long non-coding RNA of Mastomys coucha (southern multimammate mouse), 1004 nucleotides long. RefSeq lists it as uncharacterized. The record is from RefSeq and is a predicted model, not a curated record. The transcript has 5 exons. NCBI's taxonomy places the organism in Eukaryota, Metazoa, Chordata, Mammalia, Rodentia, Muridae.
CCACCAUCUUGCGAAAGUCUGCUGUGACUUCAUGGCAAAAGGUCAUCCAAGUAAGAUUCUCCCCUGAGUAUCUUCCCCUUUAGACAAUGGGGAGAUGUUGCUUACAUCCCUCCUGGGAAGGAAUGUUAGCAACAUAAGUUUAGGCAAGGAGCGGAGACCUUCAGGAACCUUUGGAGUAUGGAGAGAGGAUGUUCAAAGAGCGAACGAAUGCCUCAGUUUUUCUUUAUGCCUUCAUCCUUGGUGAGAGAUGAGAAGUCACACAUUUUGUUCAGUAUUACUGCUUCUCAUACAGACUCACAGGAUGAUUCUCUGCACCAUCAGUGAACUCUGCCAGCAAGAAGGCUAUCAACAGAAGCGGUCCUCAAUCUUAUACUAAAAUUAUAUGUCUAGAUUUGUGUCAAGUUGACAAAUACUAGCCAGCACAUGAGAUGAUUUAAAAGGACCCAGAGAAACUCCUCACCCGUGCCAUCAAAUGAAGAUACAGCAAGAAGAUGGCACUAACAAAAAGGCCCUCACCAGGUCACAGUAAAGAAUCCCCAUCAUUUCACCAUCUCAGGUCUCAGGGAUCCUGGAAGAGAUGCACAAGUAUAUCUAAACCAACCCAAAGAUGUUCAACUCCUGAAUAACAACAAGCUCACUUGUCCAAUCAGCUUACCCCAUACAGCGUGUACCAAUUUGCAUUAUUACGUCAUUUUCUUAAUUGCUCUCUGAAGGAAUAGCCUGUGAUGGAUGGGGAGAGAAAGAUUAGAGGGAGACAGCAAAAAGAAAUGCAUGAUUCUUCCUUGAAACUACUUAGAGAUGGCUGAGAGACCUGAACCUGUGGACAGAACCCGCUUAAGCAGCUGACGCUACACUCAGAGUUAAGAAAUGUCACCCAAAGUGACCAAAUGUCAUCAUUGCAUAUAAGGUUUUUGUGUUUAUUUAAAUAGUUUCACAUGAAAACGGAAGCCUGGUUCAUCACAAUUUCCUUAAUUCCUUACUAAAACAUUUAUUUUGGAUCCAAA